RNAcentral lists this ribosomal RNA (305 nucleotides) under uncultured Pseudomonas sp. RNAcentral's name for it is "bacterial SSU rRNA". It matches the Rfam family "Bacterial small subunit ribosomal RNA", at positions 1078 to 1382 of the family's 1533-position model. The record is from RNAcentral. Lineage: Bacteria; Pseudomonadati; Pseudomonadota; Gammaproteobacteria; Pseudomonadales; Pseudomonadaceae.
GGUUAAGUCCGAUACGAGCGCGAACCCUUGUCCUUAGUUACCAGCACGUUAUGGUGGGCACUCUAAGGAGACUGCCGGUGACAAACCGGAGGAAGGUGGGGAUGACGUCAAGUCAUCAUGGCCCUUACGGCCUGGGCUACACACGUGCUACAAUGGUCGGUACAAAGGGUUGCCAAGCCGCGAGGUGGAGCUAAUCCCAUAAAACCGAUCGUAGUCCGGAUCGCAGUCUGCAACUCGACUGCGUGAAGUCGGAAUCGCUAGUAAUCGUGAAUCAGAAUGUCACGGUGAAUACGUUCCCGGGCCUU